CGGCCCUCUGUCACGAGCUCAAAAGCAGACAGAGACAUAAGGCAAAGCUCAAAUCGCCUUUCAUCUCACUUCUUGGCUGAGGCAAUUCCUGAAAUGCACUGCUCAAUUUGCAUGUGGACAUAGAGCGCCAACUAACACGAAGACAAUUAGCAACAAACUGUGACCAGAACUCAGACUGAGGCUCAGCGAGGACUGCCUUGUCCUCAGCCUGGAGAAAGUGCUGCACCUACAUAACUCCCACUACGGGGCUCUUGGGCCCUCAGCACAGAGGCUGCUAAACAGUGACAAAUUGAUGACAAACCAUUACUGAUAGUUCUGCAAAAAGGUUCCUAUGACUCUUGGCCACAGCCCCCUGGCAAUAUACACACUUCUGCACAUCCGCUUUCAAAAGGAGCCAUUACAUGCACUCAUCCAUCUGACCCGAGAUGCAAGACACAGCUAGGCGAGGGUGACACCCUGCAUCAAAGGUGGCCAAGGAUGGGUGUCAAGCUAGGAGAGCAGAAGGGAAAGAUAUAUGUGAUAGAGAGCAGAGCUCAUGUUGCUAAGAGUUAACCAGCACAGUACGUGCCAGGAGCAAUAACUUCUCCCCAUGAACUGUGACCAGGAGCAAUGCCAGCAAGUGUGCACAGCAAAAGAAGUCACGGCUAAGAGAGAUGGAAGAGAGGGAAUCACCUGAUCCUCCCCCCGGUGCACAUCUCUGAAGAUUUAUCUCAGCACCACAUCCUUAAUUCCUUGCCCAGUUUCCAAGAACUGGCCUUUCACAGACAUGCUAGAGAAAGAAAAUGAGUUUGUCUAGUAUCUUUACUUCCAGCUCAUGUUUGCAAAGCUCCCUGAGAAGAAAACUGCCAGACUCCACAAGUGAUCAGUGUUAUCACACUUGAUCCAUAUGUGCCUUGAGCUUGCUGCCCCUCCUGGGACCAACAGCCAUCACUGCAGUCCUGAAGGGAUGGUGGCACUACUUUUUACUAAAAGAUCUCUCAACAGUGCUCAGCCUCACUUCCUCGUUUACAACUGGAUGAAUUUGAAAGGCAGAGUCACUUUUGCAAGAUCCAAGAACGUGACUGGGAACACAACAGCAAAGCCCCAAACCCUGUUCCUCUCCUCUGUCUGCUGUGCAACCCUCUUCUCUCCCUCUGGGCACAGUGGAGCUAGGUCACCACCUUCCACAUACAGACUAAUAUGUAAGUGACUUCUCUCUCAUGCAUUUAUGUAUGUAAAUUAAGACAUAUUUUAAACCAGGUUGUGAUGAUCCAUAUUACGUACAAAUACUGUAUCUAUCGAAACCAUUCGAAUCCAGCUUUUUUUUUUAAGUAACAUUUAGAGAAGGAUGUGUUUGCUGCUGAAGUCUUGAAGCAAAUCAAACCUUGGAACUGACAGCAGUUACGGACUACACUUCUUAAACCAGGACUGACUGACAUCCUACAUCAGCCUGCAGUAGCAGUCUCUUCUGCCAGGC
Harpia harpyja (harpy eagle) is the source of this 1456-nucleotide long non-coding RNA. RefSeq lists it as uncharacterized. The transcript has 3 exons. NCBI's taxonomy places the organism in Eukaryota, Metazoa, Chordata, Aves, Accipitriformes, Accipitridae. The record is from RefSeq and is a predicted model, not a curated record.